This 119-nucleotide non-coding RNA is filed under the name Clostridiales bacterium PH28_bin88. Its description in RNAcentral is "FMN riboswitch aptamer (RFN element)". It matches the Rfam family "FMN riboswitch aptamer (RFN element)". Rfam says of the family: The RFN element is a highly conserved domain that is found frequently in the 5'-untranslated regions of prokaryotic mRNAs that encode for flavin mononucleotide (FMN) biosynthesis and transport proteins. The record is from Rfam by way of RNAcentral. RNAcentral also lists the same sequence under 1 other name. Lineage: Bacteria; Bacillati; Bacillota; Clostridia; Eubacteriales.
GGUUUCCUUCGGGGAUAGGUGUAAUUCCUUACCGGCGGUCUAGCCCGCGAGCCACGUGAGUGGUUGACCCGGUUUAAUUCCGGGGCCGACAGUAAAAGUCUGGAUGGGAGAAGGAAGGU